Molecule: unclassified non-coding RNA, 2194 nt
Filed under: Hevea brasiliensis (rubber tree)
Lineage: Eukaryota; Viridiplantae; Streptophyta; Magnoliopsida; Malpighiales; Euphorbiaceae
Source: RNAcentral
CAAAUAGGUCCAAAACUAUUCAAGAAAAGAGUACAACCCCUACUACCUUUUUUACAUUUAGUGAAUACAGCAUUCGUCCUCUUAAACUCCCACUUCUAAUAUUAAUAUUAAAAAAUAAAAUAUUUCUAAUAAAUAAGAAGACAUAGAAGAGUAAGAUAUAGCUAAAGAUCAACUCCUUUUUUCUCAACACUUGCCUGGUCCACUUCAAUGUCCGGUAGCAAGUCUUUGAUUGAGCUUGAGUGGCGAUAAAACUCUGCUAUGACUUCCUCGCAAUUACGGUCCAAUUCUUGGCAUUUUAAUGCUCCAGACUCCCUUACUGAGUUAAUUCUUUCAGUUAUUGCAUCCGCCUCUGCAAGUACACCUUCCAAGUCAUUUUGCCUUGCUUCAAGACCAUGCCUCUUUGAUUCCACUUCCAACUUAACAUUUUUCAAUUCUUUGUUAGCCUCCUCAAAACUAAGAUUUCUUUCUUUCUCUAAUUGCUUUCUUAAUUCUUCCAAUUGGUCCGCUUUUCCUUGCCUUUCUACUAAUUUAGCUUCAAGGGACUUUUCCUGUACUUCUUCAUCACUCAGCUUUAGUUUGAGAACCUUAACAUCUUUCUCAAUAGAUUUAGUUGAAUUAACCUGCUCCUGUAUAGCCUGCAUCUGAUUGAAGUUCUUGGACAUUUUCUUGUAAGCCUUUGUAUAAACCUCAAGAAUUGCUGUUUUAUCUUGAAAAGACUGCAUUGCUGCUCUUUCAGCAUUCCUUAUCUCAGCUUGAAAUGAUUUCUUUUCCUCCAGAGCUCUCUGAAGCUUAUCUGGUGAUUGGACAAUCUUAGAACGCAAAUUGGCAUUGUCAUGAACAGCUUGUACCAAUGCAAAGUCUGCAUUAGAAAUCUUUUCAUCUAUCUCUUUAGCCCUUUCCUUAAGUUUUCUUAUUGAGGCCUUCAACGACAUUUGGUGAUUGUUAAGACCAGAAAUUGUUUGCCUCAGUUCCUUAACAUUAGAAUCUAUUUCUUGAACCAAAGGCAUCUCCCUUUCUCUUGAUUCAUUUUGUACUGCAAUCUCUUCAUUUAACUGAGAUAUUCUAGCCUCCAGAGCUAGUCGUUGUUCAUCAAUGAGAGUCAGAUCUUCCACAAUCGGCCUUAUAGCAUUUAAUUUAGUGUCCCUGUGAAGACAAAAGUUGAGGAUGGCUCCGACAAAGAAGCGGGUACGAUCAGGGUCAGGCUUGAUCAAAUCUCUUAGAGUAAAUAUCUCUGGACAACCCAAAGCAGACAACAUGUUCCUUAUCUUAUGAAACAAAUUAAUAGUCCGAAAAGAGUCGACAUGAAGAUCCGGGUUCUCAAGGUAUUCCAGAGCGGAGAAAUCCACCUGAUCAUGAUCAUCCCUAAAAGACAAGAGAAAGUAAUUAAAAAUAAAAUAUGAUUGAUUGAAACAGAGAAGUAAAGGUUGGAUUAUUAAAUACUGUAGAGUAUCGAUAUGGAGAAGAAUGCUGGAGUAGAGUUUAGUGACAAAGUCGGGAGUGGGUUUGAUGAGAUCUUCGUCGGAGACAGACGCUAUUUGAGCUUCCCCUAAUACAGCGAUGAUGUCUUGUCGGGGGAGUGUUGGGUAAUCAAAUCUCGACAUUUCACUCUUCUUUUGCGAAUCACCACUUUCUGAAUCGGGUUCAACUUAUCUCCUACUUUGAUGAAAGAAGAAGUAUAAUCUUGUAUUAACUUUUUUAGAUGUUGAGCUUCCUGAGUGUGAGUGGCCGGAGAUAGAUCCGUCUUCCACCAAUCCAAAAUUUUGGACUUCGCCGGAGCUUGCUUGGCCAGAGCUGUUUUGAGCUGCUGUUGCUGCUUUUAAUAUUGCGUUUACCGGAGUUGCUGAUACUUCCUGUUGGAGCUAUUUGUUUGCAGGUUUUCGCUGAUGGCUCCUUACCCAAGUUGCUGCUUCGCGGUGGUCCUCGACGGUCGCUGCUGCUGGUGGGGUUCGCCGGAAAAGAGAAGAGAGAAAACAGCGUUGUCCGGCUCAGGCUGGCUGCUGGCGGUUGUCUCCGGUUGCAACGCUGCCCUCUCUCACUAGUCGCUGCUGGUUGGAGCUGCGUGGCACGCUAAAGAGGAGUAGAGGAAGAGAAGAGCAAGGGGGAGGCAAGGAGGAGGGACGGCGGCUGGGAAGAGAGGGUGGGGCGUCGUCACCUCUGUUCGCCGGAAAAUUGGAGAGGAGAGGGGCGGCUGAUU